Molecule: long non-coding RNA, 640 nt
Organism: Symphalangus syndactylus (siamang)
Lineage: Eukaryota; Metazoa; Chordata; Mammalia; Primates; Hylobatidae
Source: RefSeq, a predicted model, not a curated record
CUAGAGAAUUAACCUGUGGAUAUGAAGAAAAUUGAAGAUUAAAUGUAUUUACAUCUUGUAACUGAUCCCCAGCUGCCUCCUGGGGCAUGUGGUGCUGUAAGUCUCCUGCAGGGAUUCUCGCUAUGAAAAGUGGCUUUUAUAAUCCCAAAUUGAACAAAGCACUCAAACCAAGGUAGAGUCCAUAAAGAAGAAGCAAGUCCAAUCACAAAUCUUUUGUUCAGAAAUCUGAAUUCAGCUCGCUACUGCAUGCAACACUCCAUUUCUAGGCAUAAGACACCAGAUACGGUUUUUGUUUUCCUUAAGAAAGCAUACAAAAGAUUGGAAGCAAAAGUGUCAUCAUGGAAGUCUGGGAAAAAAAAAAAGAAACAAGAUUAAUCUCAGCAUGCUUAACUGAAAUGUUACCUGUGAGCUAAGGUCUAGAGGCACAAUACUGAGGAUAUUACAAAUCUUUUGCUUUCAAAAGUAUGAGAAAAUGAAGAAACUGAAGGACAUCCCGAAGCACAGAACAUCUAAGGAAAUAUAUGAUGCAAUGAAAAGAAGUCAGAAAAGAUGUGAGGAUACCACUCAUAGAUAUGAGUUUAGCUACUAAGGAAUGGAAGGAACUUUCAAAUAAUGUGAAUUAAGAAGAGAAGACAAGGAG